RNAcentral lists this ribosomal RNA (660 nucleotides) under uncultured fungus. RNAcentral describes it as "eukaryotic LSU rRNA". It matches the Rfam family "Eukaryotic large subunit ribosomal RNA", at positions 24 to 664 of the family's 3401-position model. The record is from RNAcentral. Lineage: Eukaryota; Fungi.
CCCGCUGAACUUAAGCAUAUCAAUAAGCGGAGGAAAAGAAACUAACAAGGAUUCCCCUAGUAACUGCGAGUGAAGCGGGAAAAGCUCAAAUUUAAAAUCUGGCGGUCUUUCGGCCGUCCGAGUUGUAAUCUGGAGAAGCGUUUAUCCGCGUUGGACCGUGUACAAGUCUUCUGGAAGGGAGCGUCAUAGAGGGUGAGAAUCCCGUCUUUGACACGGACUGCCAAGGCAUUGUGAUACGCUCUCAAAGAGUCGAGUUGUUUGGGAAUGCAGCUCAAAAUGGGUGGUAAAUUCCAUCUAAAGCUAAAUAUUGGGGAGAGACCGAUAGCGAACAAGUACCGUGAGGGAAAGAUGAAAAGAACUUUGGAAAGAGAGUUAAACAGUACGUGAAAUUGCUGAAAGGGAAACGCUUGAAGUCAGUCGCGUCGCUCAGGACUCAGCCUUGCUUUUGCUUGGUGUACUUCCUGUUCGAUGGGUCAGCAUCAAUUUUGGUCGGUGGAUAAAGGCUCAGAGAAUGUGGCAUCUUCGGGUGUGUUAUAGCUCUGGGUUGUAUACAUCGGCUGGGAUUGAGGAACUCAGCACGCCGCAAGGCCGGGUACUUGUACCACGUACGUGCUUAGGAUGCUGGCAUAAUGGCUUUAAUCGACCCGUCUUGAAACACGG